GUUGAUGUAGCUUAAACACAUUAAAGCAAGGCACUGAAAAUGCCUAGAUGAGUCACCAGACUCCAUAAACA
Non-coding RNA from Panthera pardus (leopard), 71 nucleotides. The record is from Ensembl. Lineage: Eukaryota; Metazoa; Chordata; Mammalia; Carnivora; Felidae.